UGACUCUGCUGUGCGCUCUCUCUGCUUUCUUUAUCAUAUUCUUGCUGCCCACUCCCCCCCCCCCCCCCCCCCCCCAUAUAUUCCUCCCCUCUCUCACACUCUGUUGUGUGGCGUUAUCAAAAGAGCUGUUUCUGCCUCCAGGAUGUUUCUAGGUCACUGGCAGUCUGCUUGCACGUAAUGAUUCUUUAGUCCUCUGCUAAUGCUGCCUUGAUGCUGUGGCACAGGUGCUAAUAGAGCAAGCCUAGCACACUCUGCUAAUGCUGCCUUGAUGCUGUGUCACAGGUGCUAAUAGAGCAAGGCUAGCACACUCACGCCUCCUUUUGCCUUCUGUUCAAUGGGUUGAUAUGCAUUCAUAUCACACCCCUGACUAAUUAUAGCAAACAACACAUUGUCAAUUAUCAGUCAGGCUAACAAAUAUUUGCCAAUUGCCAACUAGGUGACCAUUUUCAAGACAUUUAAAACAAAUAAACACAGGUUAAGUAACAGGUAUAUAGUUAGAAUAUAGUUUGUCCAUGCCAGGGAGUGUUUUAGUUAUAAAAAUGAUGUUGUUGUUAUUCAGAUAAGCACGCAAGGGCUGUUGAGUACGUCCUAUGAUGUCUCAAGUCUCACACACAGCCCAAUAGCCCGUGUUUGUCCUCUUCUCGUCCUGUUUCCUUCUGUAUAUCUGGGAGGAGUGAGUCCCACGCAGGACGAAGUGUUUGAGAAAGAUCACACGUGUCACCACAUUUAAAAGAAGAUAAUACAGUAACACUGCACACAUGAAGAGAGAGGGUGUCUAAGAAUGGUAAAGAAAAAAGAAUACAUCAUGGGAAAGAACAAAGGAGAGGGUUUGUUCUGCUAUACACGGUGUAGUAAGUCAGAUGUUUGUUUGGAACAUUUGAUUUUUAGUUUUUUUUGUAGUUUUUGUCACAUGAGAAUGCUUGAAACUCACUGAUAUAUGUAAGAGUAAAGUACUCCUUUAGCAUUUCCUUUUGAAGUGUCCUACCUAUGCUUAUGGCGUUGUAGCAUCUUCAGUCCUUGAACUUGACUGAAAUGAAGUCAAAAGACAACACAGUUCAUAGCCAGAAGCAUUUGAAGCACGAAAGUAAAGAAAGGAAGAAGCACAACUGCCAGUGAAAACAAACCUUUGCUCCAGUCGACGUGUGAGCCGAGCCCAAAUCCAGGGCCAUUGAUUUGGGAGUUAUGUGCUCUGACAAGUUUGCAGAUGGCCAGACUGAAGACAUGAAACUAGCCAUUUGUUCUCCUGAGGGUUUUUUUUUACUUUGGAGUCCCUGCCAAUCCC
Molecule: long non-coding RNA, 1282 nt
Organism: Clupea harengus (Atlantic herring)
Lineage: Eukaryota; Metazoa; Chordata; Actinopteri; Clupeiformes; Clupeidae
Source: Ensembl